AGCACGAUCACGUGCUGACUGUGGUAAGUCCGACGUGCUCCCGGAAGCACUGCCCGCAAGGGCUCGGGAUUAC
Non-coding RNA from Methanoculleus sp. MH98A, 73 nucleotides. The record is from Rfam. Lineage: Archaea; Methanobacteriati; Methanobacteriota; Methanomicrobia; Methanomicrobiales; Methanomicrobiaceae.